This 253-nucleotide ribosomal RNA is filed under the name uncultured bacterium. RNAcentral's name for it is "partial 16S ribosomal RNA". It matches the Rfam family "Bacterial small subunit ribosomal RNA", at positions 524 to 776 of the family's 1533-position model. The record is from RNAcentral.
UACGUAGGGAGCAAGCGUUGUCCGGAUUUAUUGGGCGUAAAGAGCUCGUAGGCGGUUUGUCGCGUCUGCUGUGAAAACCCGAGGCUCAACCUCGGGCCUGCAGUGGAUACGGGCAGGCUAGAGGUAGGUAGGGGAGAAUGGAAUUCCCGGUGUAGCGGUGAAAUGCGCAGAUAUCGGGAGGAACACCGGUGGCGAAGGCGGUUCUCUGGGCCUUACCUGACGCUGAGGAGCGAAAGCGUGGGGAGCGAACAGG